Molecule: ribosomal RNA, 2926 nt
Filed under: Escherichia coli
Lineage: Bacteria; Pseudomonadati; Pseudomonadota; Gammaproteobacteria; Enterobacterales; Enterobacteriaceae
Also listed under: 1 other name
Description: 23S ribosomal RNA
Rfam family: Bacterial large subunit ribosomal RNA
Source: RNAcentral
GGGUUGUGAGGUUAAGCGACUAAGCGUACACGGUGGAUGCCCUGGCAGUCAGAGGCGAUGAAGGACGUGCUAAUCUGCGAUAAGCGUCGGUAAGGUGAUAUGAACCGUUAUAACCGGCGAUUUCCGAAUGGGGAAACCCAGUGUGUUUCGACACACUAUCAUUAACUGAAUCCAUAGGUUAAUGAGGCGAACCGGGGGAACUGAAACAUCUAAGUACCCCGAGGAAAAGAAAUCAACCGAGAUUCCCCCAGUAGCGGCGAGCGAACGGGGAGCAGCCCAGAGCCUGAAUCAGUGUGUGUGUUAGUGGAAGCGUCUGGAAAGGCGCGCGAUACAGGGUGACAGCCCCGUACACAAAAAUGCACAUGCUGUGAGCUCGAUGAGUAGGGCGGGACACGUGGUAUCCUGUCUGAAUAUGGGGGGACCAUCCUCCAAGGCUAAAUACUCCUGACUGACCGAUAGUGAACCAGUACCGUGAGGGAAAGGCGAAAAGAACCCCGGCGAGGGGAGUGAAAAAGAACCUGAAACCGUGUACGUACAAGCAGUGGGAGCACGCUUAGGCGUGUGACUGCGUACCUUUUGUAUAAUGGGUCAGCGACUUAUAUUCUGUAGCAAGGUUAACCGAAUAGGGGAGCCGAAGGGAAACCGAGUCUUAACUGGGCGUUAAGUUGCAGGGUAUAGACCCGAAACCCGGUGAUCUAGCCAUGGGCAGGUUGAAGGUUGGGUAACACUAACUGGAGGACCGAACCGACUAAUGUUGAAAAAUUAGCGGAUGACUUGUGGCUGGGGGUGAAAGGCCAAUCAAACCGGGAGAUAGCUGGUUCUCCCCGAAAGCUAUUUAGGUAGCGCCUCGUGAAUUCAUCUCCGGGGGUAGAGCACUGUUUCGGCAAGGGGGUCAUCCCGACUUACCAACCCGAUGCAAACUGCGAAUACCGGAGAAUGUUAUCACGGGAGACACACGGCGGGUGCUAACGUCCGUCGUGAAGAGGGAAACAACCCAGACCGCCAGCUAAGGUCCCAAAGUCAUGGUUAAGUGGGAAACGAUGUGGGAAGGCCCAGACAGCCAGGAUGUUGGCUUAGAAGCAGCCAUCAUUUAAAGAAAGCGUAAUAGCUCACUGGUCGAGUCGGCCUGCGCGGAAGAUGUAACGGGGCUAAACCAUGCACCGAAGCUGCGGCAGCGACACUAUGUGUUGUUGGGUAGGGGAGCGUUCUGUAAGCCUGUGAAGGUGUGCUGUGAGGCAUGCUGGAGGUAUCAGAAGUGCGAAUGCUGACAUAAGUAACGAUAAAGCGGGUGAAAAGCCCGCUCGCCGGAAGACCAAGGGUUCCUGUCCAACGUUAAUCGGGGCAGGGUGAGUCGACCCCUAAGGCGAGGCCGAAAGGCGUAGUCGAUGGGAAACAGGUUAAUAUUCCUGUACUUGGUGUUACUGCGAAGGGGGGACGGAGAAGGCUAUGUUGGCCGGGCGACGGUUGUCCCGGUUUAAGCGUGUAGGCUGGUUUUCCAGGCAAAUCCGGAAAAUCAAGGCUGAGGCGUGAUGACGAGGCACUACGGUGCUGAAGCAACAAAUGCCCUGCUUCCAGGAAAAGCCUCUAAGCAUCAGGUAACAUCAAAUCGUACCCCAAACCGACACAGGUGGUCAGGUAGAGAAUACCAAGGCGCUUGAGAGAACUCGGGUGAAGGAACUAGGCAAAAUGGUGCCGUAACUUCGGGAGAAGGCACGCUGAUAUGUAGGUGAAGCGACUUGCUCGUGGAGCUGAAAUCAGUCGAAGAUACCAGCUGGCUGCAACUGUUUAUUAAAAACACAGCACUGUGCAAACACGAAAGUGGACGUAUACGGUGUGACGCCUGCCCGGUGCCGGAAGGUUAAUUGAUGGGGUUAGCCGCAAGGCGAAGCUCUUGAUCGAAGCCCCGGUAAACGGCGGCCGUAACUAUAACGGUCCUAAGGUAGCGAAAUUCCUUGUCGGGUAAGUUCCGACCUGCACGAAUGGCGUAAUGAUGGCCAGGCUGUCUCCACCCGAGACUCAGUGAAAUUGAACUCGCUGUGAAGAUGCAGUGUACCCGCGGCAAGACGGAAAGACCCCGUGAACCUUUACUAUAGCUUGACACUGAACAUUGAGCCUUGAUGUGUAGGAUAGGUGGGAGGCUUAGAAGUGUGGACGCCAGUCUGCAUGGAGCCGACCUUGAAAUACCACCCUUUAAUGUUUGAUGUUCUAACGUUGACCCGUAAUCCGGGUUGCGGACAGUGUCUGGUGGGUAGUUUGACUGGGGCGGUCUCCUCCUAAAGAGUAACGGAGGAGCACGAAGGUUGGCUAAUCCUGGUCGGACAUCAGGAGGUUAGUGCAAUGGCAUAAGCCAGCUUGACUGCGAGCGUGACGGCGCGAGCAGGUGCGAAAGCAGGUCAUAGUGAUCCGGUGGUUCUGAAUGGAAGGGCCAUCGCUCAACGGAUAAAAGGUACUCCGGGGAUAACAGGCUGAUACCGCCCAAGAGUUCAUAUCGACGGCGGUGUUUGGCACCUCGAUGUCGGCUCAUCACAUCCUGGGGCUGAAGUAGGUCCCAAGGGUAUGGCUGUUCGCCAUUUAAAGUGGUACGCGAGCUGGGUUUAGAACGUCGUGAGACAGUUCGGUCCCUAUCUGCCGUGGGCGCUGGAGAACUGAGGGGGGCUGCUCCUAGUACGAGAGGACCGGAGUGGACGCAUCACUGGUGUUCGGGUUGUCAUGCCAAUGGCACUGCCCGGUAGCUAAAUGCGGAAGAGAUAAGUGCUGAAAGCAUCUAAGCACGAAACUUGCCCCGAGAUGAGUUCUCCCUGACUCCUUGAGAGUCCUGAAGGAACGUUGAAGACGACGACGUUGAUAGGCCGGGUGUGUAAGCGCAGCGAUGCGUUGAGCUAACCGGUACUAAUGAACCGUGAGGCUUAACCUUACAACGCCGAAG